This 253-nucleotide ribosomal RNA is filed under the name uncultured bacterium. Its description in RNAcentral is "partial 16S ribosomal RNA". It matches the Rfam family "Bacterial small subunit ribosomal RNA", at positions 524 to 776 of the family's 1533-position model. The record is from RNAcentral.
UACGUAGGGUGCGAGCGUUGUCCGGAAUUAUUGGGCGUAAAGGGCUCGUAGGCGGUUUGUCGCGUCGGGAGUGAAAACUCAGGGCUUAACCCUGAGCCUGCUUCCGAUACGGGCAGACUAGAGGUAUGCAGGGGAGAACGGAAUUCCUGGUGUAGCGGUGAAAUGCGCAGAUACCAGGAGGAACACCGGUGGCGAAGGCGGUUCUCUGGGCAUUACCUGACGCUGAGGAGCGAAAGCGUGGGGAGCAAACAGG